CACAAAGCACGCGUCUAAAUAAACGCGUGCUUUUUUGAGACGUGUCUAUCAAACCACACGAAAUUAACGCCUGGUUUUGACUCAAUCAGCGUCUGGUUUUCCAAAAUUAAAGUCUGCUUGCUUGAAUCUCCGAUGGGAAAUUACGGCAACAAUUGUAACACAUCAUCUAUGAUGUCCCAAAGGCCCAACUCCUUCUCAGGUCACCUUCUGGCAGCAACCAUGCAGCUGGAUUUCAUUGUGCAACCUGGCCUACCCAAGCUGCUGCUGGGCCCAGGGUUGAUUGUAAUGGCACACUGGGACUUGCAGAUGACCUGAAAUACAUAUUUGUCUUUAUGCUGUGUAAGAUGUAGGCCUACUGCUUUUAACUUGAGUUGAACGCUGUUAAACACUGCCAUGGUCAGCAAACACUAGCCAUUGCUCUACUUCAGAAAGGAUACUGUUCACUGCUGUAUGAGUCAAUAGGACAUUACCUGAAUGACUUGUAGUGAUCGGGAGGUUAUGCCUGUGCUGAUGAUGGUAUAAACCAUGUUAGAUUCUUGGCUCUGUGCAUUGUUUGGGUCUCCUCUCUGUGUUCUGCUUCUGUGUCUUUGGUUCUGUUGCAGGAUGGCAGGCAGGUAGAGGAGCUGUGAUUGCUGCAAGGGCACACCUGUGACCUGUGCCUUGGUCCUUAAUAAGCUGUGCCCUAACAAGCUGGGUCUCCCCAUUACUAGCAGGAACAUCAAAUCUAAUCUUCCUAUGAACCCAGUUAACACAAAAUAUUGUACACUGCUAAUCAUCAGCUAACUAAAUGUGUGUGGUGGCGUAGGACCCAAACGCAGGAGAGUAGCCAGACAUUGCCUCAAACAAAGGGUUUAUUCUUUUAAUUGGGAAACAGACAGGGUCAGUAGCGGUCCUAGUACAUAUGGCGCCCUAGGCAAGAUUUAUCAACAGCACCCCCUCUUCAUGCUGCCCUAGGCGGCUGCCUAUGUCGCCUAUAGGAAGGACCGGCACUGGACAGGGUACUCACGUUAACAAGGGUAAGGACAAGACAAAGACUGGACACAAAACAGGAACCUAAAAUACACAGAACCAAACAAGACACAGGUGGACAUGAUAAUACAAAAAAGAACUGAAACCACUGAAUGAGACACAGGUGAAGACAAUGGCAGACACGGACACAGUAGGGCAGGGCAAAACCAAAAACGGGGUCACGUUUGUGGCUGUGACAUUAUGCCUGCCCAAAGGUGGGUGACUGUAUUAUCCUAGACUCCAUGUACUGUUUGAACUGUACAUGGGUUGUGUGUAUGGGCAGUCUCAGGGUUAUGUCACAGGUAUUGGCCUCUGGGCACACCCUUGGUGCUGGGGGAGGACCAGGGGGACAGGGAGCUGCUGGUGCUGGGGGAGGACC
Long non-coding RNA from Osmerus eperlanus (European smelt), 1387 nucleotides. RefSeq lists it as uncharacterized. NCBI's taxonomy places the organism in Eukaryota, Metazoa, Chordata, Actinopteri, Osmeriformes, Osmeridae. The transcript has 3 exons. The record is from RefSeq and is a predicted model, not a curated record.